Molecule: ribosomal RNA, 465 nt
Filed under: uncultured bacterium
Lineage: Bacteria
Description: partial 16S ribosomal RNA
Rfam family: Bacterial small subunit ribosomal RNA
Source: RNAcentral
CCUACGUGAGGCAGCAGUGGGGAAUAUUGCGCAAUGGGCGAAAGCCUGACGCAGCGACGCCGCUUGAGGGAUGAAGGUCUUCGGAUCGUAAACCUCUGUCAGCAGGGAAGAACGGUCACUGUGCUAAUCAGCAGUGAAUUGACGGUACCUGCAACGGAAGCACCGGCUAACUCCGUGCCAGCAGCCGCGGUAAUACGGAGGGUGCGAGCGUUAAUCGGAAUUACUGGGCGUAAAGCGCUCGUAGGCGGUAUGUCAAGUCAAGGGUGAAAUCCCCGCGCUCAACGUGGGAACUGCCUUUGAAACUGGCAAACUGGAGUGUGUGAGAGGAUAGUGGAAUUACAGGUGUAGGAGUGAAAUCCGUAGAUAUCUGGAGGAACAUCAGUGGCGAAGGCGACUAUCUGGCACAUAACUGACGCUGAGGAGCGAAAGCGUGGGUAGCAAACAGGAUUAGAUACCCGGGUAGUC